Molecule: ribosomal RNA, 162 nt
Filed under: Pogostemon cablin (patchouli)
Lineage: Eukaryota; Viridiplantae; Streptophyta; Magnoliopsida; Lamiales; Lamiaceae
Description: 5.8S ribosomal RNA
Rfam family: 5.8S ribosomal RNA
About the family: 5.8S ribosomal RNA (5.8S rRNA) is a component of the large subunit of the eukaryotic ribosome. It is transcribed by RNA polymerase I as part of the 45S precursor that also contains 18S and 28S rRNA. Functionally, it is thought that 5.8S rRNA may be involved in ribosome translocation.
Source: RNAcentral
AACGACUCUCGGCAACGGAUAUCUCGGCUCUCGCAUCGAUGAAGAACGUAGCGAAAUGCGAUACUUGGUGUGAAUUGCAGAAUCCCGUGAACCAUCGAGUCUUUGAACGCAAGUUGCGCCCGAAGCCACUAGGCCGAGGGCACGCCUGCCUGGGUGUCACGC